This 404-nucleotide ribosomal RNA is filed under the name uncultured Candidatus Saccharibacteria bacterium. RNAcentral describes it as "partial 16S ribosomal RNA". It matches the Rfam family "Bacterial small subunit ribosomal RNA", at positions 355 to 774 of the family's 1533-position model. Lineage: Bacteria; Candidatus Saccharimonadota. The record is from RNAcentral.
UGAGGAAUCUUCCACAAUGGGCGAAAGCCUGAUGGAGCAACGCCGCGUGCAGGAUGAAGGCCCUCGGGUCGUAAACUGCUUUUAUAAGUGAAGAAUAUGACGGUAACUUAUGAAUAAGCACCGGCUAACUACGUGCCAGCAGCCGCGGUCAUACGUAGGGUGCAAGCAUUAUCCGGAGUGACUGGGCGUAAAGAGUUGCGUAGGUGGUUUGUUAAGUGAAUGGUGAAAUCUGGUGGCUCAACCACAUAGACUAUUAUUCAAACUGACAAACUCGAGAGUAGCAGAGGUAACUGGAAUUUCUAGUGUAGGAGUGAAAUCCGUAGAUAUUAGAAGGAACACCAAUGGCGUAGGCAGGUUACUAGGCUAUUUCUGACACUGAGGCACGAAAGCGUGGGGAGCGAACC